CGGUAAUUCCAGCUCCAAUAGCGUAUACUAAAGUUGUUGCAGUUAAAAAGCUCGUAGUUGGAUUUCUGCGGGGACGGAGCGGCCGGACGCAACUUGCGUCUCGAGCUAGCGCUUUCCCCGCAUCCUGCCGCGAGCCGUGCUACCAUUAGUUUGGUGGCGCUGGGGAUCGGCUCGAUUACUUUGAGAAAAAUAGAGUGUUCAAAGCAGGCCACACGCCUUGAAUAAGUUAGCAUGGAAUAAUGACUAAGGACUUCGGUUCUAUUUUGUUGGUGUUCGGGACUGAAGUAAUGAUUGAUAGGGACAGUUGGGGCGGUCUGUAUUCCAAAGCGAGAGGUGAAAUUCUUAGACCUUCGGAAGACAAACAGCUGCGAAAGCGUUCCGCAAGGAUGUUCCCUUUGAUCAAGAACGAAAGUUGGGGGAUCGAAGACGAUCAGAUACCGUCGUAGUCUCAACUAUAAACUAUACCAGCUAGGGAUCGGCCAACGUUUAAUUAUUCGACUUGGUCGGCACCUUAUGAGAAAUCAAAGCAUCUGGGUUCCGGGGGGAGUAUGGUCGCAAGGCUGAAACUUAAAGGAAUUGACGGAAGGGCACCACCAGCCGUGGAGCCUGUGGCUUAAUUUGACUCAACACGGGAAAACUUACCAGGUCCAGACAUAGGAAGGAUUGACAGAUUGAUAGCUCUUUCUUGAUUCUGUGGGUGGUGGUGCAUGGCCGUUUUUAGUUGGUGGAGUGAUUUGUCUGCUUAAUUGCGUUAACGAACGAGACCCCAGCCUGCUAAAUAGCGCGGCCGAGCUUUGCUCGGUGCGAGCUUCUUAGAGGGACCAUGAUGCGCGAUAGCACAAGGAAGUUUGGGGCAACAACAGGUCUGUGAUGCCCUUAGAUGUUCUGGGCCGCACACGGGCUACACUGGCGCCUGCAACGAGCAUAUCAGCUGGCCCGAGAGGGUCUUGGCUAAUCUUUUGAACCGGCGCCGUGCUAGGGAUUGACCAUUGCAAUUGUUGGUCAUGCAACGAGGAAUGCCUUGUAAACGCGGGUCAUCAGCUCGCAUUGAAUACGUCCCUGCUCCUUGUACACACCGCCC
This 1081-nucleotide ribosomal RNA is filed under the name uncultured Rhizaria. Its description in RNAcentral is "SSU rRNA". It matches the Rfam family "Eukaryotic small subunit ribosomal RNA", at positions 577 to 1674 of the family's 1831-position model. The record is from RNAcentral.